RNAcentral lists this ribosomal RNA (374 nucleotides) under uncultured bacterium. RNAcentral describes it as "bacterial SSU rRNA". It matches the Rfam family "Bacterial small subunit ribosomal RNA", at positions 28 to 404 of the family's 1533-position model. The record is from RNAcentral.
GACGAACGCUGGCGGCGUGCUUAACACAUGCAAGUCGAGCGGUAAGGCCCUUUCGGGGGUACACGAGCGGCGAACGGGUGAGUAACACGUGGGUGACCUGCCCUCAGCUCUGGGAUAAGCCUGGGAAACCGGGUCUAAUACUGGAUAUGGCUCCAUGACGCAUGUUGUGGGGUGGAAAGCCUUGUGCGGCUGAGGAUGGGCCCGCGGCCUAUCAGCUUGUUGGUGGGGUGAGGCCUACCAAGGCGACGACGGGUAGCCGGCCUGAGAGGGCGACCGGCCACACUGGGACUGAGACACGGCCCAGACUCCUACGGGAGGCAGCAGUGGGGAAUCUUGCGCAAUGGGCGAAAGCCUGGCGCAGCGACGCCGCGUGA